Triticum aestivum (bread wheat) is the source of this 1062-nucleotide long non-coding RNA. RefSeq lists it as uncharacterized. The transcript has 2 exons. The record is from RefSeq and is a predicted model, not a curated record. NCBI's taxonomy places the organism in Eukaryota, Viridiplantae, Streptophyta, Magnoliopsida, Poales, Poaceae.
CACCCCACCCCACCCGCUGCCCCGAUCCCCACCUUGACCUCCCUUGAUCCCCUCCCCCGAGUGCCACCACCCUCGCUGGAUCUCGCCGCCCUGCGCGCCUCCUCCCGCAGGCCGACCUACCCAAGGCGCCGCCGCCCCCCGACCAACCAGCGCGGGGUCGCUGGGUGCCGCCCACGCCACCGGGAACCUGCUGCCGCACUUCCGCCAUGGCCGCACGCUCCUCCGCGGCCCAAUCGUCGCCGCCGCCGGGGAUCCUCGAGCACCAUCAUCCUGGCACGCAGUCCAUGGCUGCCUCCCCACGCAGUCCCCUUCUUGCUGCCGACGCGAAUCCUGUCAACCCCUUCCUCUUCUCCUUCUCUUCCUCCAGUGAUAUUUGCUGGAUCCUGCCGCCGUUAACACCAGGCAUCGGAACCCCGGCCCUGCACUCCAUCGCUACGCCCUGUCUUCUUCUCGCUGCGGCUGCUCCACAUCGCGUCCGCCUGUCGUCGCGACGCCCCCAACUCGCCUGCUUUCCCCAACGCCUGUUGGUUGACCUUCUCGCAAAGGCCACCUCGACCUUCUCGAGGAAGGUUACUUCCGAGGACCCGGCUCACAAGGUGCACACCAUCUCGUCCUAGCUGCUGCUGUGUGCAGAUCCGCCGACCUGAAGACGCAAGAGAGGGAGAUACAGAGCAUGAGUAGAACAUGGACUGCUCGCACACGCCGCCACAGACUGCUCCGCUGCCAUCCCCGUCGUGCUGUGUCCACGGGGCUCCUUGACCCAUCGACAGCGACAACUGCACACAGCCGCCUGCUCCUCAACUCCGACAGCCGUGCAGGCAGCUAUCCCUCCUGGAGGCCGACACCACGCUAGCUGCUUGCUUCCACUCACGUGCUUGUGAAUGGAUGAUGCCUGUAGAUAUUCAUUUGCUUCAGUGACUCGUAUGCUUCCGUGUCUACGCUCAUCCUGAGUAUUCUCUGUCUGUGGUUCAUGCAUACAUCAUAUAUUUGAUGCUAACAUGUGUCUAAUGCAGACCACUAAAAAAGACAAUUCACUUAGUUAUAAAAAAGUAGUGUUUGUUC